UUGCCCUAGUAACGGCGAGUGAAGCGGCAACAGCUCAAAUUUGAAAUCUGGCCUCGGCCCGAGUUGUAAUUUGUAGAGGAAGCUUUUGGCACGGCACCUGCUGAGUCCCCUGGAACGGGGCGCCGUAGAGGGUGAGAGCCCCGUAUAGCAGGACGCCUAGCCUCUGUAAAGCUCCUUCGACGAGUCGAGUAGUUUGGGAAUGCUGCUCAAAAUGGGAGGUAAAUUUCUUCUAAAGCUAAAUACCGGCCAGAGACCGAUAGCGCACAAGUAGAGUGAUCGAAAGAUGAAAAGCACUUUGAAAAGAGGGUUAAACAGCACGUGAAAUUGUUGAAAGGGAAGCGCUUGUGACCAGACUCGCGCCGGGCUGAUCAUCCGGGCUUCUGCCCGGUGCACUCUGCCCGGCUCGGGCCAGCAUCGGUUCUCGCGGGGGGACAAAGGCCCUGGGAACGUAGCUCCUCCGGGAGUGUUAUAGCCCGGGGUGCAAUGCCCUCGCGGGGACCGAGGACCGCGCUUCGGCAAGGAUGCUGGCGUAAUGGUCAUCAGCGACCCGUCUUGAAACACGGACCAAGGAGUCAAGGUUUUGCGCGAGUGUUUGGGUGUCAAACCCGCACGCGUAAUGAAAGUGAACGUAGGUGAGAGCUUCGGCGCAUCAUCGACCGAUCCUGAUGUAUUCGGAUGGAUUUGAGUAGGAGCGUUAAGCCUUGGACCCGAAAGAUGGUGAACUAUGCUUGGAUAGGGUGAAGCCAGAGGAAACUCUGGUGGAGGCUCGCAGCGGUUCUGACGUGCAAAUCGAUCGUCAAAUCUGAGCAUGGGGGCGAAAGACUAAUCGAACCAUCUAGUAGCUGGUUACCGCCGAAGUUUCCCUCAGGAUAGCAGUGUUGUUCUUCAGUUUUAUGAGGUAAAGCGAAUGAUUAGGGACUCGGGGGCGCUUUAUAGCCUUCAUCCAUUCUCAAACUUUAAAUAUGUAAGAAGCCCUUGUUACUUAGUUGAACGUGGGCAUU
This 1001-nucleotide ribosomal RNA is filed under the name Cladorrhinum olerum. Its description in RNAcentral is "LSU rRNA". It matches the Rfam family "Eukaryotic large subunit ribosomal RNA", at positions 75 to 1109 of the family's 3401-position model. Lineage: Eukaryota; Fungi; Ascomycota; Sordariomycetes; Sordariales; Podosporaceae. The record is from RNAcentral.